AGUUUGUAUACCGCUGUUGUCAGUCAGUUUCUUUAGAAAACUUUCUAUAAUGAAAAAAUCAUGGACUUCAAGUAAAGGUGCAGCUUAUGUAAAAGAUAGAGGUGGGUUACAUUUAUUAGAAUAAAACAAAUAAAGUUUAUGAAAUAACUUUUGAAGGUGGAUUUAAUUGUAAAGUUUAAGAAAACUUGAUGUGAGCUCUAUCUUGUGUACAC
This 212-nucleotide ribosomal RNA is filed under the name Galkinius maculosus. RNAcentral's name for it is "partial 12S ribosomal RNA". Lineage: Eukaryota; Metazoa; Arthropoda; Thecostraca; Balanomorpha; Pyrgomatidae. The record is from RNAcentral.